RNAcentral lists this ribosomal RNA (359 nucleotides) under uncultured bacterium. RNAcentral's name for it is "partial 16S ribosomal RNA". It matches the Rfam family "Bacterial small subunit ribosomal RNA", at positions 338 to 694 of the family's 1533-position model. The record is from RNAcentral.
CCUACGGGUGGCAGCAGUGAGGAAUAUUGGUCAAUGGGCGCGAGCCUGAACCAGCCAAGUAGCGUGAAGGAUGACUGCCCUACGGGUUGUAAACUUCUUUUAUAAGGGAAUAAAGUGCGCCACGUGUGCCUUUUUGUAUGUACUUUAUGAAUAAGCAUCGGCUAACUCCGUGCCAGCAGCCGCGGUAAUACGGAGGAUCCGAGCGUUAUCCGGAUUUAUUGGGUUUAAAGGGAGCGUAGAUGGUUUGUUAAGUCAGUUGUAAAAGUGUGCGGCUCAACCGUACAAUUGCAAUUGAUACUGGGAGUUUUGAGUAGAGUUGAGGUAGGGGGAAUUAGUGGUGUAGCGGUGAAAUGCUUAGA